GACGAACGCUGGCGGCGUGCUUAACACAUGCAAGUCGAACGGAAAGGCCCUGCUUUUGUGGGGUGCUCGAGUGGCGAACGGGUGAGUAACACGUGAGUAACCUGCCCUUGACUUUGGGAUAACUUCAGGAAACUGGGGCUCAUACCGGAUAGGAGCUCCUGCUGCAUGGUGGGGGUUGGAAAGUUUCGGCGGUUGGGGAUGGACUCGCGGCUUAUCAGCUUGUUGGUGGGGUAGUGGCUUACCAAGGCUUUGACGGAUAGCCGGCCUGAGAGGGGGACCGGCCACAUUGGGACUGAGAUAGGGCCCAGACUCCUACGGGAGGCAGAAGUGGGGAAUAUUGCACAAUGGGCGGGAGCCAGAUGCAGCAACGCCGCGUGCGGGAUGACGGCCUGCGGGUUGUAAACCGCUUUCGCCUGUGACGAAGCGUGAGUGACGGUAAUGGGUAAAGAAGCACCGGCUAACUACGUG
This 468-nucleotide ribosomal RNA is filed under the name uncultured bacterium. Its description in RNAcentral is "partial 16S ribosomal RNA". It matches the Rfam family "Bacterial small subunit ribosomal RNA", at positions 28 to 507 of the family's 1533-position model. The record is from RNAcentral.